Molecule: ribosomal RNA, 575 nt
Filed under: uncultured bacterium
Lineage: Bacteria
Description: bacterial SSU rRNA
Rfam family: Bacterial small subunit ribosomal RNA
Source: RNAcentral
UGGCGAACGGGUGAGUAACACGUGAGCAACCUGCCCUUCAGAGGGGGACAGCAGUUGGAAACGACUGCUAAUACCGCAUAAGACCACGGUGUGGCAUCACACAGAGGUCAAAGGAGAAAUCCGCUGAAGGAUGGGCUCGCGUCCAAUUAGCUAGAUGGUGAGGUAACGGCCCACCAUGGCGACGAUUGGUAGCCGGACUGAGAGGUUGAUCGGCCACAUUGGGACUGAGACACGGCCCAGACUCCUACGGGAGGCAGCAGUGGGGAAUAUUGCACAAUGGAGGAAACUCUGAUGCAGCGACGCCGCGUGAGGGAAGAAGGUCUUCGGAUUGUAAACCUCUGUUGUCAGGGACGAUAAUGACGGUACCUGACGAGGAAGCCACGGCUAACUACGUGCCAGCAGCCGCGGUAAAACGUAGGUGGCAAGCGUUGUCCGGAAUUACUGGGUGUAAAGGGAGCGCAGGCGGGAGAGCAAGUUGGAAGUGAAAUCUGUGGGCUCAACUCACAAAUUGCUUUCAAAACUGUUUUUCUUGAGUGGUGUAGAGGUAGGCGGAAUUCCCGGUGUAGCGGUGGAAU